Molecule: ribosomal RNA, 490 nt
Filed under: uncultured bacterium
Lineage: Bacteria
Description: partial 16S ribosomal RNA
Rfam family: Bacterial small subunit ribosomal RNA
Source: RNAcentral
AUUGAACGCUGGCGGCAGGCCUAACACAUGCAAGUCGAACGGUAACAGGAAGCAGCUUGCUGCUUCGCUGACGAGUGGCGGACGGGUGAGUAAUGUCUGGGAAGCUGCCUGAUGGAGGGGGAUAACUACUGGAAACGGUAGCUAAUACCGCAUAAUGUCGCAAGACCAAAGAGGGGGACCUUCGGGCCUCUUGCCAUCGGAUGUGCCCAGAUGGGAUUAGCUUGUUGGUGGGGUAACGGCUCACCAAGGCGACGAUCCCUAGCUGGUCUGAGAGGAUGACCAGCCACACUGGAACUGAGACACGGUCCAGACUCCUACGGGAGGCAGCAGUGGGGAAUAUUGCACAAUGGGCGCAAGCCUGAUGCAGCCAUGCCGCGUGUAUGAAGAAGGCCUUCGGGUUGUAAAGUACUUUCAGCGGGGAGGAAGGGAGUAAAGUUAAUACCUUUGCUCAUUGACGUUACCCGCAGAAGAAGCACCGGCUGACUCCGUG